Molecule: ribosomal RNA, 118 nt
Filed under: uncultured eukaryote
Lineage: Eukaryota
Description: partial small subunit ribosomal RNA
Rfam family: Bacterial small subunit ribosomal RNA
Source: RNAcentral
GUUGUCUGUACCCAAAGUCACUUAGCCAACCUGCAAAGGAGGCGAGUGCCUAAGGUAUGGGGGAUGAUUGGGGUGAAGUCGUAACAAGGUAGCUGUAGGUGAACCUGCAGAAGGAUCA